GGGUAUUCACUAUAUGAUUUUUUAAUAAUCUAAUUCUUUUUUUUUUUUUUGUAAGAGGCUGUGGGUAUUCACUAUAUGAUUUUUUAAUAAUCUAAUUUUUAUAUGAUUUUUUUUUAAUAAUCUAAUUCUUUAGUUUAUCAUUUUAGUUGGCUAUUAUUAUACGUGACAUGCAAAAUAUUUCCCAUGAUGCAUCAAGUUACUACUACUGUACAGAGAUACAAUCG
Molecule: long non-coding RNA, 224 nt
Filed under: Capsella rubella
Lineage: Eukaryota; Viridiplantae; Streptophyta; Magnoliopsida; Brassicales; Brassicaceae
Description: long non-coding RNA (CRUB_LNC003675)
Source: RNAcentral